CGCGGAUUAGAGAAGUGGUCUAUCUCACCAGUCUCAUAAGCUGGAACACUCGCAAGGUGUCGUAAGUUCGAAUCUUACAUCCGCAA
This 86-nucleotide transfer RNA is filed under the name Caudoviricetes sp. RNAcentral's name for it is "tRNA-Met". It matches the Rfam family "tRNA". From Rfam's summary of the family: Transfer RNA (tRNA) molecules are approximately 80 nucleotides in length. The record is from RNAcentral. Lineage: Duplodnaviria; Heunggongvirae; Uroviricota; Caudoviricetes.